RNAcentral lists this ribosomal RNA (433 nucleotides) under uncultured bacterium. Its description in RNAcentral is "partial 16S ribosomal RNA". It matches the Rfam family "Bacterial small subunit ribosomal RNA", at positions 29 to 507 of the family's 1533-position model. The record is from RNAcentral.
AACGAACGCUGGCGGCAUGCCUAACACAUGCAAGUCGAACGAGACCUUCGGGUCUAGUGGCGCACGGGUGCGUAACGCGUGGGAACCUGCCCUUAGGUUCGGAAUAACUCCCCGAAAGGGGUGCUAAUACCGGAUAAUGUCUUCGGACCAAAGAUUUAUCGCAUUUGGAUGGGCCCGCGUUGGAUUAGCUAGUUGGUAGGGUAAAAGCCUACCAAGGCGACGAUCCAUAGCUGGUCUGAGAGGAUGAUCAGCCACACUGGGACUGAGACACGGCCCAGACUCCUACGGGAGGCAGCAGUGGGUAAUAUUGGACAAUGGGCGAAAGCCUGAUCCAGCAAUGCCGCGUGAGUGAUGAAGGCCUUAGGGUUGUAAAGCUCUUUUACCCGGGAUGAUAAUGACAGUACCGGGAGAAUAAGCUCCGGCUAACUCCGUG